Molecule: long non-coding RNA, 15419 nt
Filed under: Fragaria vesca (wild strawberry)
Lineage: Eukaryota; Viridiplantae; Streptophyta; Magnoliopsida; Rosales; Rosaceae
Description: long non-coding RNA (FVES_LNC002760)
Source: RNAcentral
UGAAACCUACAUGUUAUUUGUAAGCUUAAUUUCCUAUUAGCAUCGAUCUCUUGGGACCUUCUUCUAACUGCAGACGUAAUGACACAAUCUUUCCAUGUUUCUAUUCCCGCACCACACUAAGCAAAAUGAUAACACAUUGAUUUGCUUAAGUAGGCGAUCGACAAUGACGAUCACUCAGGCGUGUAUAUUUUUUGAUUAUCUAAAUAUAUAUCUCAAUAUGAUUGUUCUGAAAGUUGUCACUAGUGUUUUUCACGAAUAUUGUUUGAGCCCAGUGGGUAUUUUUGGUCCAAGACUCGGGGUACAUUUUGGAUAACAUUUGGGCCAAUACCUGUGGCCCUUUUUUAAUGCGAAGCCCACGAAGGAUGACGAAGCCUGGCUUCACGCGAGCUGGAGUUUUGCAAGGAUUCCGAUACCCCGCGGGAUUCGGUGUCCUCGCGGGAUUCUUUGUUCCAGUUCGUAUAGGAUUCCACAGUGCAUGGCGAGGUAGAGUUGGAAAUGGAUUGUAGUACUCCGCGGGAUAGGGUCGCUUAGUGUUCAGGUUCGCGUACGACGCUACAGUGAGAUGAUGCGGGGCGGUGAGCGAGACCUAGGCGAGGUCUGUUCUGGACACGUGUUGCACGGAUCGCGCGGCUCGCGAGCUGGUCGUAUCCUUGUGGAAUUCUAAUUGCUGAGUCCGGAUGAGUUGUGACUAGGUCUUUACGGAUUGUUUGCGGGUCGCUAUAUAAGGGAGCUUGACACAACAACAAAAGGGACACAAUCAAUCAUACAAAAACAAGUACAAAUCCUCGAGCAUCCUCGAAACCCUAAGUUCUAAGUGCACUUCGCCUUAGUUCUCAGACUCCCUCCCGAUUCGCCUCCUUUCCCUAGUUGUUGCUCUGCUCACCCUAGCAGUGAGUAUCGAUUCACAAGUGACAAGAAUUUUUACUCGUAAUCCCUCGUCCGCGAGGUGGCACCGGUAACCCCCUCUUCGCUUGUUUAGAAGUCUAGCCGCAGCGCAUUCCUUUCCUCGCCCGCGAGGUGGCACGCCCCGCAAAUCUCCUUUUCUUUACUUUUGAGUCACCGGAGUUUCGACUCUGCCCCUGCUGAGACGCGUGGCCAAAACAUUGGCACGCCCAGUGGGACCGGGAGUAUAACAUUCUCGUCAUCAUUGGGAAAUCAGGCGGAUCCCCAUACGGGAGACCCUCGGUUUCUUGUUUAAAACAUAAAUCUUCACAAUACAAGCCCCAUAACAGCGCGGCUUGUCGAUCUCUCACCCAAGAAGAAGUUCUCGCUCGGUUUGGCACACCCGACCAUAGCGGAACCAUAAUGACAGGUUUACGAACAACCCAGGACGCAGGACCUACUCUGCCAGCGGACGAAGUCCGCUAGAUGUUUGGGGAACUGAAGAAUAAUCUCGACUCACUUAGCUCGAAAGUCGACACCACCCAGCAAAGCGUCAAAGACCUCUCUGAACAGGUCAUUAAGGACAGAACUAUCUGGCUCGCUAACCAAGAAAACCUUUUUAGGCUCAGCGAGGAGUUUAAUUACGUUGCUGGUCAAGUCAGGGAAGACAAAGACUUGGUGGAAGGUUCCCUUCAGAGGAUCCAGAAAGAAUUGGAUCAGAGCAAGGUGACUUUCACCAAAACCCUGCAGCUUACCCGCGCAACCGUGGAUGAGCAGACCUGUCGCUUGGACGAACACGACACCAAGCUACAGCAACAGCAGGACGCUUCUUUCUUUGGAAGCAAGAACAGCAUGGAAAAGCUUGAGGACUACAAAGAGCGACAUGAUAAUCUGAGCAUAAGGGUCCUGCAAGUGGAAGACUAGAUACGGGCUCAGACACCAAAAAAUCAUGCCUUGAACUUAGCUAGUUCAAGUGCAACUGAGGGCUCAAGGUACAUUCCACCUAAUGAACGCCCUAGAGGAAAUCCAAAGGUCGGGGCCUAGAAGACUCCCAAUUCACAUUGGGGGCCAGUUCGUCAAAGACGCCACCCCUUCUGCCCAUGCCAGGUAGCCCUGGAGUCACACUCAGGGGCGCCGGUGUCUUCCCAUCUCAAGGGAUCGGGACACCAGAUGACCCGGUUAUAGCUUAUUCCAGUUCGACCCCUAAGAACGUCGUGCAGGCCCCUAGCCUCUCUGCAUGGCACGGCCACGAUCAGGGGGCAGAAUCCACACCAGUAACGGUAGCCGACUGGCGCCAGCUCAUCUCGAGCAUAGUCAAGGAGCAAACCGGAAAAGGUGAUGCUAGCUUGCAUUAUCGUGACCCCUAUCCAGAUAGCGUGGCGCAAUAUCCUUUCCCUCAUGGAUUUAAGAAUAUUGUCUUCACCACUUUCUCCGGAGAGACAAGGGAAGAUGCAGCAACACAUAUGGCUCGUUUCAAAGUCCAAUGCGGCCAAUACGGGAAUGAUGAUAUGCUCAAACUCAAGCUUUUUAGGACGUCUCUAUCCGGAGCUACUUUUACCUGGUACUCCAGAUUGAAGCCUGGGUCAAUAGCUGACUGGCCCACUAUCGAGAGACUUUUCCGAGAGACAUACGACACAAUUGAACCUGAAGUCGGCCUCGAUUCCCUCACACAGAUGAGCCAGCAAAGCAUGGAGUCUGGAGUUUCUUUCCUCCAGCGUUUCAAGAUCUAGCAAGCCAAAUGUGAUUACCUGCUACCUGAGCAGGAAGCCAUUAAGUUGGCUAUCAGAGGCCUGGAGCACCGCCAGCGGUUAAAGCAUCACGGAGAGCGCUUUACUUCCAUGGGCAACCUGAUUAACAAGGUCGGUAGCUACGAGCUAAUCUUGAACGAGUUGGAUGACAAAGCAAAUGCCUCCAAAGGAACUUACAUACUAGGGAAGAAUCGGACAGUGGGGACAUUAAGCCUACAGGCCCCUACUUAUGAUUCCUAUUAUCAAAGGUCUGAGGAAACUCGCCCGGAUCAGGAACAUGAAGAUAUUGGCGCGGUAGAACUAACUGGCAAGCUAUUGGCUCACAAAUUGAAAAACCUAAAGAUAACGCGCGAGCCAAUCACCAUCCAGUCCUUUGCAUGGACCAAGCCAGAGUACGACUCAUACACCUAUGAUGCUAAGAACGCCCAUCUGGUCUUUAAUGACCUCAUCGAGGCAAGAUACGUGCGCUUGGAUCACAAGAUACCGCCCAAGGAAGAGCUGAAGGACAAGAAGUACUGCGCCUUCCACAAUGUGUACAAUCAUGACACCAAAGAUUUUGUCAAGCUUCGAGACUAGCUGCAGACAUGGCUGAACUCAGGCGAGCUAAAGAUGAAAACACCGGGUAGUACGGCCUCAUUGGUUGAUAUAGACCCUUUCUCGCCUGUAGUUGGCAUGGUCGAGGUAAACUGGGCCGAUCAGACCGAGGACGAAGAUCGACGCCGGGCACCUAAAAGGGGCCGCGAGGAAGGUGACGAUGGAGCCCGCCGGCCACGUCGCCAAUACACCUACAACGAAGAGCUUGCACAUGAGGUUCUAGAUGAUCUCAUUGAUGACGGGCUCGUCACAGUGGCCAAUUCCUUGCCAUACAUAGAAUAUAAGGAGGGGCGCAUUCACUGCAAGUUUCAUAAUAGCUGGGGGCACAGAACCUGCGAAUGCCAGCAACUCAGAGACCAGGUUCAAGACUGGCUCGACCUCAGGUAUAUUCACUUUAAGAAUAAGGGCGACUUCAUGAUCGCGACGGCUGACUUCGCUUGGCCUCGAGUCGGCCAACGAAGAAUCACAUUAGACUUGUCGCCAAAUGCAGGUUUACAUGAACCGCCGGGCCGAAAUCGCAAAUGACCGGCGAAUAACUAUACUGUCCCGAAUAACCAGCAGGGGAAAGCAGACGACUCAGCUCGACAGUUGAUCGCUAAGCUCGAAACAGACCGCCCAUCCCGCAAAGAUAAGGGCAAAGCAGUCAUGAGGGACGAUGGACCGUUCCUCGUUGAAGAUCCCCAGCCUAUGAGUCCCAGGACUCGAGAAGAGCUGGAAAGGAGGAUAGAACGUCUCGAGACGUUCGUCUAUAUACGUUGGGCAGAGGUAGUACCUUCAUCCCCUGCCACAAGUGAGAUGGACAUGUCAGACUCCAGCGGUGAGCGUCACAACAACGAGGCCUCGAGCCCUCCUAAAGGCGUCCUAACCGACCCCUAUAUUCCCCCGACAUCCAAAUCAGCGAUCAAGGAUGGGGUCUGGUACACACAGCAAGGGGGCAAGGCAGUUACCAUCAGCAUGUCUAAGAAGCGAAAGCUCUAAAAGCGAUACAGUAUUAUCCUACGUGCCUUACGGGCUGUCGAAGAGGGCGUUGUACGCCCCUCACAGCUCGCACAGACGCCUGAGCGGAUGUGGAGGGAAGUAGAGGGUUUGCGCGCAUUCCUUAUAAAUGCCGCCUGUCACACCCCCAAGGAUUUGCGAGCAGUUCAGCGACGAGCCUGCACCCAAACCAAACGUCUUUUGCCGACUCACUGUUCCACCAAAGCAGGAUCCACAACCUUCCAGGCGUAGGCCAUCACCAGAACCUGAAAGAAGAAGGGAUCCACAGCCUUCCAGGCGCAGGCCAUCACCAGAGCCUGAAAAGAGAAGGGAUCAACAAGCUCUCAGGCACAGGCCGUCACCGAAACCCGAGCGGAGAAAGGCUCCGCCUACCGGUCCUAGGCGUAAGUUGUUCACGACCCCGGACCCAGAGUCCAAACGCGAACCGUCUCAGCCCUCACGGCAACGGGAACGUCAAAAUCUGGAGGCCAAUAUCAGAAGGGAGUCACCACCACCACACCAGCCUUGGGCACGGUCUACCCCAGAGCCCGAGACUCGGAUGGUUCCCCGAGUAUCCUCCCUACAAUGGUUGAAAAAAGAAGACAACGAUAAGGCUCCUCUAGCAACAGACAAACAACCAGCUAAGGACCAUCAGCCUUCAACCAAGUCAGUAUGGCGUCUGCGGCAGCCCGAGGCUCAAGAGCCACCAAUAGCCGCACAGGCGCCCUCCAGUCCUAACCUCGCCCAACAAAUGGCCCAGCGUUUCCGCGAGAAUUCAGAAGACGACGAGGCACAUUCAGAACCUCGAUUUAACCUAGAGGAAGACUGGGACGAAGAGCAGGCAGAAUCAUUCACCUGUAAUAUGAUAGAGGUCUCAGGAUGGGAUGCUGAUGAAGGGUUUAGCAGCGAAACAGACGCUUUCGCGGUGCUCGAAGGGGAACACGGGAUCAUUGACACUCCCCUGGUCCCAGUUCCUGAACAAUUCUCCUUUCAAGUCGAGAUGGUGUUCUUCAUUUCGGAAAGAUACGCGCUCCCACCAAACACAACCUGCAGUGCGGCGGAUAUUCCCGUCAGCAACGAGGAUGUCAGUGGCAUACCCCCGCCAUGCAGCAGCGAAAUGGGCCCAGUUCCGGCACAGGCCGACGACGCCCCACAGGUGGAAAUUACGAGCAGCAUCAAACAUAAGCAAACUCUAACCUUUUCCACACCAACUUUGGACAUGGCCACUCACAUGCGGCCACUGUAUAUCACGGCCGAAGUCGAGGGAAAAAUGAUCAACAAGAUCAUGGUCGACACCGGUGCCGCGGUCAAUGUUGUCACAACCCGUACCAUGAGACUCCUAGACAUCCCGCGCUCGAUGAUCCAAACCACGUCCUUAACAGUCAAGAACUUCACCGGGCAAGUGUCCAGAACCCUAGGCUUGCUAUUCCUACGGGUCAAGGUCGGGCCGGCAUCACGGGUUUACACCUUUUUCGUCGCCGAAUGCGCUUCCUCUUACAGCAUGAUUCUUGGCCGAGAUUGGAUCCACAGAAGUUUUUGCGUGCCUUCCUCCAUGCACCAAGAACUCAUGAUUUGGGACGCCGAGAACCGUGAAGCAGUCAUCAUCAAAGCCGACCCGCGGCCAUUCUCUAUCUCUGCCAACUUCAACGAUGCCCGAUAUUAUACUACAGACUUGGGUCCGUUGGAUGUUCAAGGCGUCGAUAACAAGGGCCGCCCAUAUUGAAUAACGGCCUCCAAUCUCACGCGAUGGGGACUUACCCAGGCGAAGGACUAUUUGCAACGUCCUCACACCAUCGCGAAUCACACACCCCGUUCUGAUGAAUAGUGCCUUCUCAGAGGAGGCACGUGAGGCUGGCGAGUCCCUGUGCGAAAGACUCCUUUCGUACUGGACAGAACGCGAAACCUACGACAAGGUCGCGACUAUGGAAUAUGUAGAUGAAGUGGUGGAUUAUUCCGAUACCAAGGAGGAAAUUAUUCACUUAGCUCCCGCCGCCUUGGACGACACACCACCUCAAGUCCGCGACCCCAUUUCACAAGUUGACGUAGGGACUGCAGAAAAGCCCUUACUUAUUCCUAUCAGUGCUAAGUUGGCGGAGGACGAAAAAGAAACCCUUAUUAUCCUGUUAUGCGAGUACAGGGAUUGCUUCGCCGACAAAUACGAAGACAUGCCCGGCUUGUCCCCGGACUUGGUCUGCCACCGGUUACCAACUUAUCCCAACCGACGUCCAGUACGGCAGGACGGCCGAUUCAUGCGAACUGAGACUCAGAUCGUAGUCAAGGAAGAGAUCGAAAGCAUGCACCGAUCGGGCAUCAUUCGCGUGGCAAAGUAUAACGAGUGGCUGUCCAAUGUUGUCCCCGUCCGCAAGAAAAAUGGCAAGAUGCGCGUCUGUGUUGAUUACCGCGACCUAAACAACGCAACACCGAAGGAUAUAUACCUCAUGCCUGUGGCUGACCUACUCAUUGAUGCCGCCGCGGGGCACGAGGUGUUAUCCUUUAUGGAUGGAACGGCCGGAUACCAUCAGAUUCCCGUCGCUGAGGAAGAUCGACACAAGACCGCUUUCCGCUGCCCUGGUUUUGCCGGCGGGUUCGAGUACGUGGUCAUGCCUUUCGGACUCAAAAACGCGGGGGCAACAUACCAGCGCGCCAUGAACCUCAUUUUUCAUGACAUCUUGGGGAAGUUGAUCGAAGUAUACAUCGACGAUGUGGUAGUCAAAACCAAAACACGGGCAACCCACGUUGAAGACCUGCGGCAGGUGUUUACACGGAUGCGCCGACAUAACCUGAAGAUGAACCCCUCUAAGUGUGUUUUCUUUCCGGAGGCCGGCGAUUUCCUUGGUUUCCUAAUGCAUCAAAGAGGCAUCGAAAUCCCAAAGGACAAGGCACAGGCGGUAAUCACCGCUUCAAACCCCAACACAAAGAAGGAGCUUCAACAGCUGCUUGGGCGAAUCAACUUUCUCCGCCGUUUCAUAUCCAACGCGGCAGGGAAGGUCCAGCCUUUUUCACCCCUCCUCAAGCUCCAGGGGGCAACCGAGUUCGUCUGGGAACCACAACAUCAACAGGCCUUCGAUCGCAUCAAGGACUACCUUACGAACCCACCAGUCCUGAUCCCACCUCGCGACGGUACCCCGCUUAAACUUUAUAUCGUCGCUGCCGACUUGUCCAUCGGCGGACUCCUGGCCCAAGAGGAUGUGAACGGGGUAGAACACGCUAUCUACUACCUUAGUAGGGUGUUAACAGAGUGUGAGACACGAUACUCACCUAUGGAGAAGUUGUGUCUUGCCCUAUAUUUUGCAGGGUGCAAGCUGCGCCAUUACAUGCUUGUCUUUACCAUGGUUGUGAUCGCUCAAUCCGACCUGGUCAAAUACAUGCUCUCUCGCCCUAUCUUGCGGGGACGCAUCGGCAAGUGGAUCUUAGCCAUGUCCGAAUUCUCGUUGCAAUAUGUUCCGCAAAAGGCAGUAAAAGGACAGGCAAUAGCAGACUUUCUCGCUCAUCACCCACCCUCAGAGCUCACGGCGUUUCGCGAGUUGGAAUUCGCUACCGUGACACUCGCUCCAUGGACCCUGUACUUUGAUGGUUCGUGCACUGACACCGCAGCCUGAGCUGGGAUAGCCAUAGCCAAUCCCGUCGGAGAUCGCUUCUCAUAUUCGUUCCAGCUCGAUUUCAAAAGCACCAACAACCAGGCUGAGUACGAGGCGCUGAUCAUCGGCCUGGAGAUUUUGUUGGAUUUAGGAGUCCGCGAGGAUCAGAUCUUUGGCGAUUCUUUGUUGGUCGUUAACCAGCUGGUGGAAAAGUUUAAGUGCUUAAGCUCGACAAUUGAGCCAUACCUGCGCAAGGCAUUUGAGGUGUUGGAUCGAUUUACCGACGUCUACAUCGAACACAUACCACGCGAGUCCAAUUUCGCCGCCAACGAGCUCGCCCAAGUAGCGUCCGGUCUCAGCCUGCGCGACGGCAUUUGAGGUGUUGGAUCGAUUUCCGCUGCGUGUAUGGGAACGAAGCUAAACGUAUCAUGCGCGAAGUCCAUUGUGGGGUUUGCGGCUCGCACCAGGCCGGGCCAAAAAUGCGAUGGUUGAUCCGUCGCCAUGGGUACUACUGGCCAACCAUUCUGAAAGACUGUAUUGCCUUCGCCAGAGGGUGCCAAGACUGCUAGGCUCACGGACCAGUGCAACACAUUCCCAACAUCCCGUUACAGCCUAUCAUUAAACCUUGGCCGGGUCGCGGUUGGGCGAUAGAUUUCGUUGACAUCAUUCAUCCCCAUUUUUCUGAGCAGCAUAAGUUCAUUAUCGUCGCCACCGAUUUCUUUACCAAAUGGGUCGAGGCCGAACCACUCAAGGUUGCCUCCGCCAACUCGGUUCGCAACUUUAUUUUCCGCAAUAUCAUCUCCCGCUUUGGUAUCCCGGAGUGCAUCGUUACGGACAGGGGGGCAGCUUUCAUGGCUGAUUCAGUUGUUAAGUACUUAAACGACUACGGAAUCAAGCUUCUCCACUCUACGCCAUAUUAUGCACAGUCCAACAGCCAGGCGAAGGCUAGUAAUAAGGUCAUCCUUGGCAUCCUCCGCAAGAUGUUGGAGUUGAACCCGCGUGUCUGGCAUGAGGAACUCUACCACACCUUGUGGGCUUACCGCACUUCAAAGCGCGGCCCGACGGAUACCACCCCGUACGCUCUCAUGUACGGUCAUGAUGCCGUCCUUCCCCUUGAGAUCAAUAUCGCUUCACUCCGCGUUCAGGAACAGCAUCAACUACUUGGUGAGGAUUACGUCCAAGCCAUGUGGCAGGAGCUUGAAGAUCUUGACGAGCACCGUGUCACCGCUUUCAACAAUCUUGUCCUCGAGAAACAACGCAUCGCACGUUCGUAUGAUAAGGUCACGCGCAGACGGAGCUAUGCUGAGGGCCAGAAAGUGUGGCGCGCGGUACUCCCACUUGGGGACAAAACCGACGGUCGGGGCAAGUAGUCCGCUCGAUGGGAAGACUCCUUUAUUAUUCAUCGUAUACUUCCCAAGGGGGCAUACCACCUGCGCGACUUGGACGGUACCAUUCAUCGCAAUCCUAUUAAUGGCCGCUUCCUCAAGCGCCACAUUGCAGGAGUUUGGGAACGCGAGGAUCCUCCACCUCCCCCAGGCCCCGUCGCCACUGUCAAUAGUGCUACGCGCCAUCGCGUUCUCGCUCCGCCGCCUAACACUAGGGGGCAACCCGGGAUAGAAGCCUGAUAGAGUACGUUUUAACAUACCAGCCUAAAAAGGCCAGUAUAAGAUUGGGGCCUAUUCCAGAGGCCCUAAAUAAAGAUAACUCUAUUUUUCUUCAUUUUCUGUAAACGUGCAAAGUCUAAACGCAAAGGCCAGUACAAGAUUGGGGCCUAUUCUAGAGGCCCUAAAAAAACAAUAAAUUUAUUUAUUUUGCCUUUCUGGCGUUGUUUCAAUACAAGUUUCGAACAUCGGCUUUGCGGCCGAAGCAACUACAUUUGACAGAAAGGGUAAAAUUAGACUAUGUUUACAAACAAAGGCAUAAAUCUGCAGAUAUUGGAAGCCUCAACCCGCAUAUCUUGUAGGGUUGAAGAAGAGACUGCCGCCGCACCCUUCGUUUAAAGUUGGCAAACGUCCCGCUUCUUUAGACCAGCACGAGCCUUGACACCGGCCCGGACCUAAGACAAAUUGUUGGGAAGCUAGAGGUCCACUAGACCAGGGUCCCUCAUGCUACCGGUCAUGCCUGGAAGGUGCUUGAAAGGCACUGACUAGAACCUGAAGCGCAAGCGGAUGCGGAGCCUCGAGAGCCUCACGUUUGGACAGAACAGCCGGUGCAAGGCAGAAGGUACCCAACCAUUAGUUUGUCCAAACAAAGGCUUGACCUGAGAGUAGAUUUUCAGAAUCACUCCCGGCCUGAGAGUAGAUUUUCAGAAUCAGAAAGAACGAAGAGUGAAAAUGUGAGGUGGGGGCUUUGCUUUAAGCAGGGACAAGAGGAUGUACAGAAGGGUAUAAGAGCCCAUGGCAAGGGGGCAAAGACUUAACUGGUACUUCGCCCCGGCCAAGCGUUUCUUUUUAUAGGCGAAAAUGGUGGUUUUCCUUUCAACAGAUGUCCUCCAUGCAGCGAUUUGCUCCGAGAUAUGAGCUUUGGAGAUAAGGUCAGACGCGUUGUUCCAUAAUGACUACCCGCGUUCCGAGCGAGUAGUUGCAUUGGAAACCCCCACCAAAUCUUGGAAGAAGAUUUUUUCCUGGGAAGACAGUUCUUACAUAAGAGUUGACAAGAGUGGGAAAGAUUUGAUUUAAUAAUAAUAUUAUAAAGGUUCAUACAAAGGGGGCAAAGCGCUGAUCGGGCCUAAACCCGCCUAGAAACCCUAUACAAAUCUAUGAGAAGGCAUUCUAAGGCCAACUCUUCAACAUCUGCCUAGGCUUGGGCUUCGUCGGCAGCAGCAGCAGCCGAGUCCAAAGCUUCCUGGGUCUCUUCCGCGGCCUGCACACGGGUUUCUGCCUCUUCAGCUCGGGCCAAGUUCUGGCGAGCUUGAGCAAGCUGAGCUUGCAGCUCCGCUAUCUGAACCUCUAGGGCCUCCACUUGCCGAGCAUAGACAGCGCAUGGGUUCUCUGACGAUGCCUCAGGGAUUUCAGCGUCAUCAAGCUCGACUAAAAGGGCUGCCAUCUAAUCGUCUAAGGCUUGGCGGACUUUCUCGUGAGCAGCCGACUGGGCACCGACAUCUUGAACUCGGCGAGCCUGCAGCUCGACAGCGUCGGUAAGUUCCAACACAUGGUCUAGAGCAGGAUUGCUCCCAGCGAGGUGCCGAAUCAGAGCUUCAUGGGCCUCGCGGGCGCGCCUCACCAAGUCGAACACGUUCAUGUGGGGACCUUGGCGCAGUAGCCCGUGAAAGAAAGCCCGGGCUAGGCGAAUGGGCUCUGGAUCGGCAGGCGGGGUAAUUCGGGCCCGAAGACGAGCGGUCCGGGUAGCCAAAGAAGAAGCCGCCUCGCCAGAUGUUCUCGUUGGGGCCGGAGUGGUUGGUUCAAUCUCUGCAACUGCCUCAAUCUCUAGAACGGGCGGUGGGACCUCAGACCGAGUAGGGACUGUCGGUUCUUCGGUGGUCUGGGACGUUGAGUCUGGUUGCAAAGGAGAGGGCUCAAGCACCGGUUGAAGGUCCUUUGGCGGAACCGCCGAGGAGGCAGCAAAAUCAGAAAGCCGGGUGGUCUGGCCAAGAUCUUCAUCUUGAGCAGGAGCCGAGAUAGGCUCCGGAGGCGGGCCAGUUUCGCCUAGAGCGUCGGUUGGAGAAGAGGGUCGCACGGCGACUUCCUCAGUAACCAUGGUUUGAUCUCCGACGAUUGGUUCUGGGGUUGGGACUUCAACUAUUGCUGUUGCUCCUUCAAUGACAGCGAGGCGAGGUCGGAUGCUGCGGCGAACCUGUCAAAUACAAAGUUAGCAAAUCGUUUGUUGGCUUUAAUGAGUUUGGUUCGAAGAAAGGUCGCUUACCAAAGCGUGCUCUUGCCGAUAUCGUUCAUCCUCUAGCAGCUCUUCUUCGUCUUCGACAGGGCGCUUCCGCGAGCCUUCGCCGCUUGUUGGCGGGGGAAUAACGGGAGCAGUCUCAUCGUCAUGGUCCGCCGCGGGCUCCUCUUGAGCAGGUGCUUUCCCUUUGUCUCCGGCACCCCCAGGUCUUCUGACCGAUCUCCGGCGGGGUGCAGACUGUAAAGGUAGACAGGAGAGUUAGGAUGAAGCAUUUUGUUGAAGUGGUAAAGGCGGUAUGGAAUUUACAUAGUUGGUGGUUUACCUCGGGUGCGGGAUCGCGUUCUCGAAUGACGAUCCCGGUCGAGCGAUGAGUAGCGGGAACUGGUGGGAGCGCAGACCUAGACCUUGUCGCAGCCUUUGAACCGCUCUCUUCACGGUUGCGCUGGGCAUCAAGGAUGACGCGGUCUGACUCGCCCAAAGUUUCGUAUAGGGGAUAAAAGAUGGCAGCAAAAACAGCAUCAUCUGGGAACCCCCAAUGGAUGUCGGACAAAGAUCGCCACCAAGAGAGAUAGGCGGGGUCAACACCCAGUGAAGGCUCAAUCUCAAGCAAGUCAAGAGUGAGAGGGAAAAUGUUCUGCAGCAGGGUGACCCGGUCGGACUCGCCAAUCUUCCUCCAGGAGGUGUACUUGUUCACCGAAUGGAAGAGUGGAUAGGGGAUCCCUUGAAAGAAGCCGAGUUGUCUGGCGAAGUGGUUGGGGGCAUAUAGCUCGAAGCCUUGUUCAUCCUCGGCGAGCUGAAGGUCGCAGCAUGAGGAUGCUCUCAUGAAGACGGUCUUGGCAUCUGAGUCCGAAUCAAAGCGCGAGAAGAAGCCCGUCGAUAAGACUUCAGGGUGGCGCCGGAGAACCAUCAUGUCUAUGGUGGGAGGCGGUUCGAGUUGGUUGUACAGGAUGGAGAGGCUGGCAAAGAAGGACAGGGGAGUCCGGUUCGCAGCGUUCCUGCACAUUGCGAAGCCAAGCAGUUGGUCCUCGGGCAGGAAUUCCAUCGGGGCUCGCCGGAAGAGCGGGAAGUACAGCUGCGUCCAUAAAUCCAAGAUUCACAGAAGGCCAGCAGAGAGAUGGAAGGGUCUUAGGGACAACAUGUGCAGGGUCCGGUAAAGCGCGCCCAGCACGGGCUGCCCUAGCCCUACUUCGAUUCCAUUGUAGAGUGCCUCGGCCAGCUUUGUCCAUUUCCCUGUAAGUUUGUAAGCACUGCCACAGAAUAUGAAUUUAUCAAGCCAGUACUCAAGGAAAACGAUACCUCCUUCGUGUUGUUCUGCAUGGCCGAUGUAGAACUUCCUCCAUACUCCAUACGAGCCUUUCAGGGCGCGGCGGGCCCCCAGGUUGCAGGAGUGGGUAAACUCGGUCGAUGCAAAGUCGCCUAGCGCAUAUGGCUUUGCAUGAAUCGGCAGCCCGGUGAUGGCGAGGAUGUCCAGUAGAGAAAUGCCCAUUUGCCCGAAAGGAAAAUCGAAAGUGUUGGUGGCAAUGUUCCAUAAGCAGGCCGUGGCAGCAAUGGGUGCUCGAUCAGCAUGAGGAGGCAGUGAGAAGCUCAAGGCAAUGGCUUCGUUGAUGCCGGUUGCUUCCCAGAUCGCUUGGUCGGUCUGGAGACGAGCCGUGUACCAUGCCCGGUCUUCCGCGGUGACGCUGGGCCAUUCCCCGACCCGGAUAUUUGUAUGAGAGCGGGCUUGGUGAAACCAGAAGGUGAAGUUUCCCGGUUCGCGACGUUGAGCAAGGAUUGGUCGGCGCACGGAGGCGGUAUAGUGGUUCAGAUCAGCGGCGGACGGAGGUUGUGAAGGAGUCGGACCGAGCAGGGCUGCCCCUGUUUCAAGGAAAUAAAUGGGUGUUCCUUGAGGAGGGUUGUUGGCAAAACGGCGAGCGAAGCCGGUCGACCAAGAGCUCGCCGCCGUGAGGUUAAGGUUUGAAUCGUUAGCAGUCGGUUUGGGAGCCAUUGUCUCUGGGCGGAGUGAGUCCGAUGGUGAAGUUCUGUUGGUUGCAGAAGAAAGGGAAAAGUUUGGUUGGAAAGCGAUGGUGAGAUGUGGGGACCCGCAUCGAGGUUUAUAAAGGAGACGGACCGUAAUGUCUUUUCAAUCAGUAGCCGUAAUGAGGAGACGCGAUGACGACCGAAAUGUCAGCACGUUUCAAAUUUCAAACAGUCGCAAUGAUGAAGGGAGGCGAUGAUGCCGAAACGUCAGCACCUUUUUGAAUUGCGAAUUCCCGUAAAUAGCUCAUUUAGGCCUUUUCGCUUAUCUGUUGCGAAAUGGAUUAAGCUCAAGGCCUAGGGGGCAAUGUUUGAGCCCAGUGGGUAUUUUUGAUCCAAGACUCGGGGUACGUUUUGGAUAACAUUUGGGCCAAUACCUAUGACCCUUUUUUAAUGCGAAGCCCACGAAGGAUGGCGAAGUCUGGCUCCACGCGAGCUGGAGUUUUGCAAGGAUUCCGAUACCCCGCGGGAUUCGGUGUCCUCGCGGGAUUCUUUGUUCCAGUUCGUAUAGGAUUCCACAGUGCAUGGCGAGGUAGAGUUGGAAAUGGAUUGUAGUACUCCGCGGGAUAGGGUCGCUUAGUGUUCGGGUUCGCGUACGACGCUACAGUGAGAUGAUGCGGGGCGGUGAGCGAGACCUAGGCGAGGUCUGUUCUGGACACGUGUUGCACGGAUCGCGCGGCUCGCGAGCUGGUCGUAUCCUUGUGGAAUUCUAAUUGCUGAGUCCGAAUGAGUUGUGACUAGGUCUUUGCGGAUUGCUUGCGGGUCACUAUAUAAGGGAGCUUGACACAACAACAAAAGGGACACAAUCAAUCAUACAAAAACAAGUACAAAUCCUCGAGCAUCCUCGAAACCCUAAGUUCUAAGUGCACUUCGCCUUAGUUCUCAGACUCCUUCCCGAUUCGCCUCCUUUCCCUAGUUGUUGCUCUGCUCACCCUAGCAGUGAGUAUCGAUUCACAAGUGACAAGAAGUUUUACUCGUAAUCCCUCGUCCACGAGGUGGCACCGGUAACCCCCUCUUCGCUUGUUUAGAAGUCUAGCCGCAGCGCAUUCCUUUCCUCGCCCGCGAGGUGGCACGCCCCGCAAAUCUCCUUUUCUUUACUUUUGAGUCACCGGAGUUCCGACUCUGCCCCUGCUGAGACGCGUGGCCAAAACAAAUGUAGGUAUGUCGAUCAGGUCCAUAUAUAUAUAGAAUAUAUCCCAUACAUACUUUCGAGUAUGGUUUUUCAUUCUGAAUUGAAAAGUAAAAAUUGAAUUGAAAACUCUUCGAUGAAAUUUCCAUCCCAGCAAAGCUAGUUUGUUUGUGAAUGCCAACACAACAACAAAAAUAUGUUUGUUUGCGACUUUAAACCACCGGCCUUUUUUUAACAACGAAUUAGUCCAUAAGUUUAAGUAUGUGGUCUGAAAUGAAGUACUACUUAAUCUAAUACACAUACGUACGUAGUAGAUAAGCAGCAUUACUCUUAUUUUAUACACAAUCUCCAUCAGAGGUUUAGAAAUUGCAAGGAUAACACUGUUUUAAUGUCCAACUAGGCAACCCCCAUUUCAUUUCCAUAGUGAUGAUCAUAUAGCUGAACUGGCAUCUUUGUAGCACUAAUGGAAAUGCCACGAGAGUGCCAUAUACUAUAGUGACUCAACUUUAAUAUUAUGCAACAAAUGCAUCCACUAUUCCACUUAGAGUCUUCUGGAGUUCUGGUGGUGAUCGAAAUUGGCUUAAUGCACCAACGUUCGCAUAGUUUAAUUUGUGUUUUCUAAAGAGUGUUGUCAAAGGAUAAGAUAAUGCCAUUUUAGUAAGCUUG